GGGCCUGUAGCUCAGUUGGUUAGAGCGGUCCGCUCAUAACGGAUUGGUCGCUGGUUCAAGUCCGGCCAGGCCCACCA
Molecule: transfer RNA, 77 nt
Filed under: Pseudomonadota bacterium
Lineage: Bacteria; Pseudomonadati; Pseudomonadota
Also listed under: 3 other names
Description: tRNA-Ile
Rfam family: tRNA
About the family: Transfer RNA (tRNA) molecules are approximately 80 nucleotides in length. Their secondary structure includes four short double-helical elements and three loops (D, anti-codon, and T loops).
Source: RNAcentral